UACGUAGGUGGCGAGCGUUAUCCGGAUUUACUGGGCGUAAAGGGAGCGUAGGCGGACUUUUAAGUGAGAUGUGAAAUACCCGGGCUCAACUUGGGUGCUGCAUUUCAAACUGGAAGUCUAGAGUGCAGGAGAGGAGAAUGGAAUUCCUAGUGUAGCGGUGAAAUGCGUAGAGAUUAGGAAGAAUACCAGUGGCGAAGGCGAUUCUCUGGACUGUAACUGACGCUGAGGCUCGAAAGCGUGGGGAGCAAACAGGAUUAGAUACCCCCGUAGU
RNAcentral lists this ribosomal RNA (271 nucleotides) under uncultured prokaryote. RNAcentral describes it as "partial 16S ribosomal RNA". It matches the Rfam family "Bacterial small subunit ribosomal RNA", at positions 524 to 794 of the family's 1533-position model. The record is from RNAcentral.